Non-coding RNA from Pseudonaja textilis, 150 nucleotides. NCBI's taxonomy places the organism in Eukaryota, Metazoa, Chordata, Lepidosauria, Squamata, Elapidae. The record is from RefSeq and is a predicted model, not a curated record.
CCCCAUGGGAGUCUGACAACAGCCAAUAGAAUACAUGUUCUUGCACAGGAACAGGAAGCUCAAGGGCAAGGCCCAAGAGAAGGUAUAAAUAACUCUCGUUCUCAACUCCAUGGGGUCAGCUGCUCAGAACCACCCAUGCUUGCUGGUUCU